GAUGAACGCUGGCGGCGUGCCUAAUACAUGCAAGUCGAGCGAACAGACGAGGCGCUUGCUCCUCUGACGUUAGCGGCGGACGGGUGAGUAACACGUGGAUAACCUACCUAUAAGACUGGGAUAACUUCGGGAAACCGGAGCUAAUACCGGAUAAUAUAUUGAACCGCAUGGUUCAAUAGUGAAAGACGGUUUUGCUGUCACUUAUAGAUGGAUCCGAGCCGCAUUAGCUAGUUGGUAAGGUAACGGCUUACCAAGGCAACGAUGCGUAGCCGACCUGAGAGGGUGAUCGGCCACACUGGAACUGAGACACGGUCCAGACUCCUACGGGAGGCAGCAGUAGGGAAUCUUCCGCAAUGGGCGAAGGCCUGACGGAGCAACGCCGCGUGAGUGAUGAAGGUCUUCGGAUCGUAAAACUCUGUUAUUAGGGAAGAACAAAUGUGUAAGUAACUAUGCACGUCUUGACGGUACCUAAUCAGAAAGCCCCGGCUAACUACGUG
Molecule: ribosomal RNA, 497 nt
Filed under: uncultured bacterium
Lineage: Bacteria
Description: partial 16S ribosomal RNA
Rfam family: Bacterial small subunit ribosomal RNA
Source: RNAcentral